RNAcentral lists this ribosomal RNA (2868 nucleotides) under Bacillus subtilis subsp. subtilis str. BSP1. Its description in RNAcentral is "23S ribosomal RNA". The record is from RNAcentral. Lineage: Bacteria; Bacillati; Bacillota; Bacilli; Caryophanales; Bacillaceae.
GUUUUUUAACCCCUUCUUUUUUUUGAUAAGAAUUGUUUUUCCACAAUAGGCAUAAAAACGUGAAGGAUCAUUCCUCCCAAACAGACGGUUAAUAGGGUUCCGAUGCCGAUAGGGCCUUUAAAGAUGAUGGCUAAUACUAAGAAAAGAGCGUAUACCAAUGUUCUUGAAAACAAGAUUGUUCUUUUGGAGAGAUCUCGGAUAAUAAGUGUUAAAUGAUCGAUGGGUGUUGAUGCGAAUUUCGUCUGAAGAUAGAUGGCUGUUCCAAGACCGAUGAGCAUCAAACCAAUUCCGAAACAAAUCAGUUUGCUUAACAACGCAUUUAGAUAGAUGGUGUUUUUUACAACAAACAACCAUAGGUCAAUGCCUAUUCCAGUAAUGAAUGCUGUAAUUAAGCCUAGCAAAAUAGGUUUUUUUCUCGUUAAUAUAGCGUUGCAGAUUAAGAGGAUCACAGAAAUAAGGACCUCCCAGCUCCCUACGGUAAGACCGAUUUCUUUUGACAGACCAACCAAAAGGGCAUCGAAGGGUGAUGUGCCCAGUCCUGAUUGUAUGGUUAAGGAAAUGCCCAAACUUAAUAUGAGUAUGCCUAAUCCGUAAAAAAUAUAUUUCAUGUUAUAUUCCGCGAUAUGUCUUUUGUCAUCAAGACAUGAGGGAUGCCGUCUUCCAUAAAUUCCUGUGAAGAAAUCUGGUAGCCCAGUUUUUGAUAAAAGCCUGCUGCUUGUGUUUGACCAUGCAGCUUACAUGCAGUCAGUCCUUUUUCUUUUAUGAUUUCUUCUAACCAGCUUACGAUGACUUUCCCCAAUCCAUACUUACGGUAAGGUUUUAGGAUGCAGAUUCUUUCCAGCUUUGCUGUAUGGUCAACGAUGCGCACACGGCCCGUGCCGACAGGCUGAUUCUCAUGAUAUACCAAGACAUGCUGGCAUUGUUCCUGGAGCGUAUCAAAUUCAUCGAACUCUUCGGAUUCCGAUACAUGUUGCUCCUCAAUGAAAACCGUCUUUCUAAUAUUCAAAGCUUCAUGUAAAUCAGCUUCAGUUGUUAUUCUUUUUAUAUUCAUUAUGAAUCAAUCCUUUUCUGAUAUUAGUCUGGACUGUACAGCAUGCAUGUGGUCUUAUAAUAGUAAGGUUAAAACAUUUUUGUUGUAAUUGCAACAAAAAUACGUGAGGGGUUUUAGGAAUGAAUGAUAUUUUGCGUGAGAUCGGCAUGAUAGCAAGAGCGUUGGAUUCCAUAAGCAACAUCGAAUUUAAAGAUUUGGACUUAACAAGAGGGCAGUAUCUCUAUCUCGUACGUAUAUACGAAAAUCCGGGAAUUAUUCAAGAAAAAUUGGCGGAAAUGAUAAAGGUGGACCGGACAACGGCCGCGCGGGCCAUUAAGAAGCUGGAAAUGCAGGGAUUUAUUCAAAAACUGCCAGAUGAGCAAAAUAAAAAAAUAAAAAAACUGUUCCCGACUGAGAAAGGGAAAAAGGUAUAUCCAUUGUUAAGAAGAGAAGGAGAACAUUCCACGGAAGUGGCCUUGUCCGGUUUUACUUCAGAGGAAAAGGAAACCAUUUCUGCACUCCUUCAUAGAGUGAGGAAGAAUAUAGAACGUGAUUGGGAAUAUGUGAAGAAGGGGAACAAAAGGGAUUAUUAAUGGACAACGUUAACAAGUUGAGCUGAUGCUGGCGAAAAUCGGCGUUUCCUCUCAAGAAUCCAGUCAGCUCGAGCGUGGGUGAAAAUAGUCCGUUCACUUCUGUUUUCUUUAAAACUAUCAAAAAAUUUCCACAGGAGAUGGUUUGCGUGAACUUGAGACAACUAUCAGAACAUGUCUAUCAAUGUGAAUUUGAGCUUGAUGUGCCUCUUCGGAUUCCAGUUCAUACCUGGUUUAUCAAAGAUGGUGAUGAUGUUUAUAUUGUUGAUACGGGAAUAGAACGUUUUGCUGAUGCUCAAAUUAGGGCAGCGUUAGCGAUCGGCAAUCCAAAAGCCAUUUUGCUUACCCAUGGCCACAGUGAUCAUAUCGGAGGUGCAUCAAAAUGGUUAGAGAGAUUUGAUAUUCCGAUUUUUGCGCACCAGAAAGAACUAAAGUACAUCAAUGGGGAAGAGCCAUAUCCGAACAAAAAUGAAGUGGAGAACACAGGGGUAGCCCAUAUUGUCCAGCCGCUGACGGAGCAAACGCUUGCUCACCUGCCUCUGAAAUACUAUUUAACACCUGGCCAUUCUCCGGGGCAUGUCGUGUAUUAUCAUAAAAUCGAUCGUACGCUAUUAACGGGUGACCUUUUUAUCACAAGUAAGGAGGAUUUACACCCACCUAUAAGAAGAUUCAGUGUUGAUAUAAAUGAGAACAUCGACAGCGGCUCAAUCAUAGAUCAAAUCAAACCAACGCUCAUUUGCUCUUCACAUGGCGAAGAAAUCCUUUAUAACGAAGAAUUGUAUAAAAACUAUGUGGUAAGGUAUAGGGAUUAAUGGAAGUGAAAAACAUGAGCUGAAAAUUCUUCAGCAUAUUGAAGCCCUCGAACCGAUUUACUCACACCCAAAAAGAAAAAAUGGCAGCUGCCUGCCGCGGAGGCUUUUGCGGAGCUUGUUUUACAUUCGAUUCAUGAGCAAAAGGAGUGAGUGUCAGGCUCACUCCUAUUCUAUUUAAAUUGCGGCUGUGAGCUUUGGUUUUACAAAUUUCAUGAAAAUCCCUCUGACUAAUGGGCCCAUAAUCAGUAAUUGCAAUGGAUAGGCCAGGAUGAAAUUUUUCAACACAAUCAUAAGAUAAGCACUGAAGAGGCUGUCCCCGUUCAGCCCAUUUGCUAGAACCGCUGUCACUAAACCGAACACAGACAUACAAAGUACCAUGCCAAUCACCAUACAAGUUGACAUGGCAAGGAUGACAUAAAUUUUUUUAGUCUUGUCG